UGACGUAGUUAAAAUUAAGUCAAAACUCAAAAAUAAACUAAACUAAAUAUGAGUAACUGUAUUAAAUAACAUAAUUAAUUUAUACAGUAUAUAAAUAUGUUUAAAUUAUAAAAAUUAAAAAAAAAAAAAGCAUGGAAGAGAUCUCGUGGUGCUUAGAUGAAAGACUCAUGAUUAUUGAAGGGAGGGCCGGAGAAGAAGUUCUGGAUGUGCGGCGUUUAUCUCUGUUCAUGACGGGUUUGGUAUGCGGGUUAUAAUAUUUAAAACGGAUCUAGUGUUUCUACGGUAAGCUUAUGUGGUUUUUUCCUUUAUAGUCAAUGGACUUAGUUUAUGAUUCAUUGAAAUAUUUGAAUAUUUCUUGUACGUUGCGUUUGGACUUUUAUAAUAAAAUUUAUUUUUGAAAAAAAAAAAAAAAAAA
This is a long non-coding RNA of Manihot esculenta (cassava), 415 nucleotides long. RefSeq lists it as uncharacterized. The transcript is spliced from 2 exons. The record is from RefSeq and is a predicted model, not a curated record. Lineage: Eukaryota; Viridiplantae; Streptophyta; Magnoliopsida; Malpighiales; Euphorbiaceae.